CAGUAGCCGCGGGAAUACAGAGGGUGCAAGCGUUAAUCGGAAUUACUGGGCGUAAAGCGCGAGUAGGUGGUUUGUUAAGUUGGAUGUGAAAUCCCCGGGCUCAACCUGGGAACUGCAUCCAAAACUGGCAAGCUAGAGUAUGGUAGAGGGUGGUGGAAUUUCCUGUGUAGCGGUGAAAUGCGUAGAUAUAGGAAGGAACACCAGUGGCGAAGGCGACCACCUGGACUGAUACUGACACUGAGGUGCGAAAGCGUGGGGAGCAAACAGGAUUAGAUACCCGCGUAGUCCCUGUCUCUUAUAC
RNAcentral lists this ribosomal RNA (301 nucleotides) under uncultured bacterium. RNAcentral's name for it is "partial 16S ribosomal RNA". It matches the Rfam family "Bacterial small subunit ribosomal RNA", at positions 509 to 807 of the family's 1533-position model. The record is from RNAcentral.